AAUAUUGAGAAUCAUCUAAUGCUAUUACGUAAAAUAAAAUUAUAUUAAACAUACAAAAAAAUAUAUUUUCUUAAAUUUUUUGAUAUACCGUAAUCGAGUUAUUACAAUACAGAGAGUUUUACUAGAAUACUAUCAAUAGUAAACAACUUGGUUUACUAUCAAUUUGUUUUUCAUCAUAGAGCUAUUAAAUUAACGAUCAGUAUCGUUGAACAUGAUCUAGAAUAUUUAAAUUAUCUAGAAAUCAAAUUUCAUGCUAUUUUGAUAUUGUUCUCUAACCCAUCAAGUAGCAAUAAAAUAAAUAGCUGAAAAUAAAUAUUCUUCAAAAUGUCAUAAUAUAAUUUUUCUAUUCAAGAUCUAGAAUCUAGAUUUUGUUUUAAAUAGUUUAAAGAAUUUUCUAAUAAAAAUUUAGUUGAUUUGAACUCUUCUAUACCGUUAAACAAGCAAAUGCACCGUAUCGACCAUUAAAAAUUACAGAUUUUGUGACCCUCUGAUCAUUUAGUUACUGAUGUCAAGAACCCAUGAAAGUUAGUUUCUAAAUAAUUUAAAUAGUUUAGACCAUGUAUAACAAUAGGGAUAAUCUAUUUGGAAGAUCUACAAUCGAAAACAAAUUGAUAGUAAAUUGAGCUAUUUACUACCAAGACCAGUCAAGCUCCAACAUAUAUAACAUUUUAUUAUAUACAUAAAUAAAUUUAUUAUUUUGUAUCAUAUUUUUCUAUCGUGUGUAACAUAAUUAAUCUUCUUAUGAUC
This 747-nucleotide long non-coding RNA is filed under the name Ananas comosus (pineapple). RNAcentral's name for it is "long non-coding RNA (ACOM_LNC004397)". The record is from RNAcentral. Lineage: Eukaryota; Viridiplantae; Streptophyta; Magnoliopsida; Poales; Bromeliaceae.